RNAcentral lists this ribosomal RNA (305 nucleotides) under uncultured bacterium. Its description in RNAcentral is "bacterial SSU rRNA". It matches the Rfam family "Bacterial small subunit ribosomal RNA", at positions 334 to 654 of the family's 1533-position model. The record is from RNAcentral.
GUGUUCCUCGGGACGCAGCAGUCGGGAAUAUUGCGCAAUGGAGGAAACUCUGACGCAGUGACGCCGCGUAUAGGAAGAAGGUUUUCGGAUUGUAAACUAUUGUCGUUAGGGAAGAAAAAAGACAGUACCUAAGGAGGAAGCUCCGGCUAACUACGUGGCAGCAGCCGCGGUAAUACGUAGGGGGCAAGCGUUGUUCGGAAUGACUGGGCGUAAAGGGUGUGUAGGCGGUUUAGCAAGUUAGAAGUGAAAUACCUAGAGCUUAACUCAGGUGCUGCUUCUAAAACUGCUAGACUUGAGUGCAGUAG